Molecule: long non-coding RNA, 374 nt
Filed under: Gossypium raimondii (Peruvian cotton)
Lineage: Eukaryota; Viridiplantae; Streptophyta; Magnoliopsida; Malvales; Malvaceae
Description: long non-coding RNA (GRAI_LNC008781)
Source: RNAcentral
GCGAAACCCAAGGAACCGGAGAAGAAACCCGACAAACCAAAAGAAGCUGAGAAGAAGCCGGAAAAACCCAAAGAAGCUGAGAAGAAACCGGAAAAACCCAAAGAAGCAGCUGAGAAGAAACCGGAAAAACCCAAAGAAGCUGAGAAGAAACCGGAAAAGCCCAAAGACGGUGAGAAGAAACCGGAGAAGCCUAAAGAGGCGGCGGCGGAGAAAAAGCCUGAUAAACCGAAAGAGGCAGCGGCUGCGCCGCCACAGAAGGUUGCGGAACCUGCUGCAGCUGCUCCUUUACCACCGAUGGCGUAUGCAGUUGGGUAUACUUGCUCCGAAGGUUAUUAUAAUGGCUAUGGUGGAGGACCUAGCUAUUAUGGUGGACC